UACGUAGGGUGCGAGCGUUAAUCGGAAUUACUGGGCGUAAAGCGUGCGCAGGCGGUUUUGUAAGCCAGAUGUGAAAUCCCCGGGCUUAACCUGGGAAUGGCAUUUGGGACUGCAAGGCUUGAGUGCGGCAGAGGAGACUGGAAUUCCUGGUGUAGCAGUGAAAUGCGUAGAUAUCAGGAGGAACACCGGUGGCGAAGGCGGGUCUCUGGGCCGAUACUGACGCUGAGGAGCGAAAGCGUGGGGAGCGAACAGG
Molecule: ribosomal RNA, 253 nt
Filed under: uncultured bacterium
Lineage: Bacteria
Description: partial 16S ribosomal RNA
Rfam family: Bacterial small subunit ribosomal RNA
Source: RNAcentral